This 788-nucleotide ribosomal RNA is filed under the name fungal endophyte. RNAcentral's name for it is "eukaryotic LSU rRNA". The stretch from base 568 to 788 matches the Rfam family "Eukaryotic large subunit ribosomal RNA", at positions 1 to 221 of the family's 3401-position model. Lineage: Eukaryota; Fungi. The record is from RNAcentral.
UGACCUGCGGAAGGAUCAUUAACGAGUUAGGGUUCCUUUUGGGCCCGACCUCCCAACCCUUUGUCUACUUGACCAUCGUUGCUUCGGCGAGCCCGUCCUCACGGACCGCCGGAGGGACCCUCAUCGGCCCUCUGGUCCGCGCUCGUCGGUGGCCCAAAUCUUUAAAAUCUUUAACUAAACGUGCCUCAAUCUAAGUACUAUUUGUUAAAUAAAAGCAAAACUUUCAACAACGGAUCUCUUGGUUCUGGCAUCGAUGAAGAACGCAGCGAAAUGCGAUAAGUAAUGCGAAUUGCAGAAUUCCAGUGAGUCAUCGAAUCUUUGAACGCACAUUGCGCCCUUUGGUAUUCCGAAGGGCAUGCCUGUUCGAGCGUCAUUAUCACCCCUCAAGCCCCCGGCUUGGUGUUGGACGGUUUGGUGGAGGCCCCUCGCGGGCACCUGCCCCUCCUAAAGACAAUGACGGCGGCCUCGUUGGACCCCCGGUACACUGAGUUCUUCACGGGACACGUAUCGGACACAUGGGUUUACGGGGCACGGUCUGCCUCCCCUCAGGGAGAAUUUUAUCAAGGUUGACCUCGGAUCAGGUAGGGAUACCCGCUGAACUUAAGCAUAUCAAUAAGCGGAGGAAAAGAAACCAACAGGGAUUGCCUCAGUAACGGCGAGUGAAGCGGCAACAGCUCAAAUUUGAAAUCUGGCCUCUUUGGGGUCCGAGUUGUAAUUUGUAGAGGAUGUUUCGGGUACCGCCUCGGUUUAAAUUUCUUGGAACAGAAUGUCAGAGAGGGUGAGAAUCC